UCAGGAUGAACGCUAGCUACAGGCUAACACAUGCAAGGUCAGGGGCAGCAUGAAUCAAGCUUGCUUGAUUGAUGGCGACCGGCGCACGGGUGCGUAACACGUAUCCAAUCUACCCAUGGCUCAGGGAUAGCCUUUCGAAAGAAAGAUUAAUACCUGAUGGUUUCAUGAGCCGCAUGGACUUAUGAAUAAAGAUUUAUCGGCGAUGGAUGAGGAUGCGUCCGAUUAGAUAGUAGGCGGGGUAACGGCCACCUAGUCGACGAUCGGUAGGGGCUCUGAGAGGAGGAUCCCCCACAUUGGAACUGAGACACGGUCCAAACUCCUACGGGAGGCAGCAGUGAGGAAUAUUGGUCAAUGGGCGAGAGCCUGAACCAGCCAAGUAGCGUGAGGGAUGACUGCCCUAUGGGUUGUAAACCUCUUUUGUUUGGGAAUAAAGUGAGCCACGUGUGGCUUUUUGUAUGUACCUUACGAAUAAGCAUCGGCUAAUUCCGUGCCAGCCGCCGC
Molecule: ribosomal RNA, 501 nt
Filed under: uncultured bacterium
Lineage: Bacteria
Description: bacterial SSU rRNA
Rfam family: Bacterial small subunit ribosomal RNA
Source: RNAcentral